Molecule: long non-coding RNA, 269 nt
Organism: Dermacentor silvarum
Lineage: Eukaryota; Metazoa; Arthropoda; Arachnida; Ixodida; Ixodidae
Exons: 3
Source: RefSeq, a predicted model, not a curated record
GUGAACCUGUUCUUGGAGAAACUCAAUAAAAACAUGAUUGACUUACAACUCCGUGUGUUUCACAUAGCGUUCCUAAAGAAAGCAACAGAAUCAUUUAUAAAGUACAAUAAGAAUAAGACAGUGAUUGUUGGAAAUAGUUUGCAAAAUUUAAACGACUUUAUAAACACAAGAAUUGCGGAAUUUGGCAAACCAAACGUGGUGCUUUAUAUUAGCCCCUUCCCGAUAGCCACACCGAAUGCGGAUGGUAUAAAGAAUGUAUAUGCAUCAGG